RNAcentral lists this transfer RNA (73 nucleotides) under Bacteroidota bacterium. RNAcentral describes it as "Bacteroidetes bacterium (activated sludge metagenome) tRNA-Met". It matches the Rfam family "tRNA". From Rfam's summary of the family: Transfer RNA (tRNA) molecules are approximately 80 nucleotides in length. Their secondary structure includes four short double-helical elements and three loops (D, anti-codon, and T loops). RNAcentral also lists the same sequence under 1 other name. Lineage: Bacteria; Pseudomonadati; Bacteroidota. The record is from RNAcentral.
CGCGAGAUGGAGCAGUUGGUAGCUCGUCGGGCUCAUAACCCGAAGGUCGUUGGUUCGAGUCCAGCUCUCGCUA